RNAcentral lists this ribosomal RNA (253 nucleotides) under uncultured bacterium. RNAcentral's name for it is "partial 16S ribosomal RNA". It matches the Rfam family "Bacterial small subunit ribosomal RNA", at positions 524 to 776 of the family's 1533-position model. The record is from RNAcentral.
UACGGAGGGUGCAAGCGUUGUUCGGAAUCACUGGGCGUAAAGCGCGUGUAGGCGGACCGAUAAGUCGGAUGUGAAAGCCCUGGGCUCAACCCAGGAAGUGCAUUCGAAACUGCCGGUCUUGAGUACGGGAGAGGAGAGCGGAAUUCCUAGUGUAGAGGUGAAAUGCGUAGAUAUUAGGAAGAACACCGGUGGCGAAGGCGGCUCUCUGGUCCGAUACUGACGCUGAGGCGCGAAAGCGUGGGGAGCAAACAGG